Molecule: ribosomal RNA, 137 nt
Filed under: uncultured bacterium
Lineage: Bacteria
Description: partial 16S ribosomal RNA
Rfam family: Bacterial small subunit ribosomal RNA
Source: RNAcentral
UGGGGAAUAUUGCACAAUGGGGGAAACCCUGAUGCAGCGACGCCGCGCGAAGGAAGAAGUAUCUCGGUAUGUAAACUUCUAUCAGCAGGGAAGAUAGUGACGGUACCUGACUAAGAAGCCCCGGCUAACUACGUGCC